AAUAAAAAUAAAAAUUAAAAAAAAGAAAACCAAUGACUAAAAAGAAUUAACAUUCUUGUAAUUUGCCAACAUAAUCUUUAACUAUAUAUUUUGACAUAUCUUACAAAUCUAAACUUCACAUACAAAUCUAACAAUGCUACUAUCAUUAAUACCUCUAAGUUUUCAUUUGACACCCAUAAUACAUUAAACAAUGACAAAUUUUAAUAGUAAUAAGGAGAGAGUGUGGAAGAACAAAAUCGCUUGAUCUAGUCAAAUGGCUAAAAAUUUUGAUGCAACACGAGCAUCAAAAAGAAAUUUGAAAGGUAUUGAUAUUAGUAGUGAGGUUGUAUCAUCGUGAAUGAUGAUGGAUCAGUCAGAAAUAGGG
RNAcentral lists this unclassified non-coding RNA (364 nucleotides) under Hevea brasiliensis (rubber tree). Lineage: Eukaryota; Viridiplantae; Streptophyta; Magnoliopsida; Malpighiales; Euphorbiaceae. The record is from RNAcentral.